GGCGCCCCCUGUACAAAGACUGCCGUUCCAUUUGCAAAAGCGUGGGGGAGCAACACAGACUUAGAUACCCUGCUAGUCCACCCCGUAAACGAUGUCGAUUUGAAGUUUGUCCCUUUGAGGCUUGGCUCCCGAAGUUAACGCGUUAAUUAGACCCCCUGGGGAGUACGCCCGCAAGGUUAAAAUUCAAAUGAUUGGACGGGGGCCCGCCCAAGCGGGGGAGCAUGUGGUUUAUUUGGAUGCAACGGGAAGAACCUUACUUACUCUUGACAUUCAGAGAACUUUCCAGAGAUCGAUUGGUGCCUUCGGGAACUGUGAGCCAGGUACACCAUGGCUUUCUUCAGCUCGUGUUGUGAAAUGUUGGGUUAAUUCCCGCAACGAGCGCAACCCUUAUCCUUUGUUGCCACCGGUUAGGCCGGGAACUCAAAGGAGACUGCCAGUGAUAAACCGGAGGAAGGUGGGGAUGACGUCAAGUCAUCAUGGCCCUUACGAGUAGGGCUACACACGUGCUACAAUGGCAUAUACAAAGGGAAGCGACCUCGCGAGAGCAAGCGGACCUCAUAAAGUAUGUCGUAGUCCGGAUUGGAGUCUGCAACUCGACUCCAUGAAGUCGGAAUCGCUAGUAAUCGUAGAUCAGAAUGUUACGGUGAAUACGUUCCCGGGCCUUGUACACACCGCCCGUCACACCAUGGGAGUGGGUUGCGAACAAGAAGUAGGUAGCUUAAC
This 723-nucleotide ribosomal RNA is filed under the name Serratia marcescens. Its description in RNAcentral is "bacterial SSU rRNA". It matches the Rfam family "Bacterial small subunit ribosomal RNA", at positions 721 to 1439 of the family's 1533-position model. Lineage: Bacteria; Pseudomonadati; Pseudomonadota; Gammaproteobacteria; Enterobacterales; Yersiniaceae. The record is from RNAcentral.